UCAAACAAGAUAUUGUCUGCAAGUAAACGCAUUUAUCUUGCCGUGACUAAACAAGAAUGGUACAUGUAUAACUCCGGUGUCCAUCAUUUCUAAAAUCGUGAUGUUAUUGAACAAGGAUCCUAUAUAAAGCUCUUAUAAAACACUUUGUACACAUUUAUAUUCGUACACGAUGAGAUUUACUCGUAUAUCGACUGUUAUAGCCAUUUUACUACAUAUUUGUAUUACAAAAAGUGAAGUAAAUAAUGAUGGUAGGGUUGUAUUAGUGUCUCCUGUUCUCGCUCCCUAUAGAAGUGGAAAAGCUCAAACAAAUGAAACGGCCAAAGAUUUUCCUAUACUAACAUUACUGGCCACCGACGGAAAAACAAAAGACAACGAAACAGAAUUGAAUACAAACUCCACGAUUCAGCAACCUAUUUACGUGCAAAAACUUAAAGACAACGCACCGCUUUUGAGGCGUCGUAGGAAAAUAAGCAGGAUCUACUUCGUACACAGAUACUAAUAUUACUUCUAUGAAUACAAAAAAAGACAAGAAAAACUUGAACAUCGAGAAUCGAUCAGCAUUAUUGCCGGAACGAAUUGUUUUGAUCGAAUCCUUCUUGAAAUAGGAGGAAAUAAACAAUGUGAUUGAACAUAAAGACACACGAGCAUAAUUCUUCAUACACACAUUUAAACAUUUUAUACCUUGUUAAUAAAAAUAAUUAAUUAAU
Molecule: long non-coding RNA, 707 nt
Organism: Helicoverpa armigera (cotton bollworm)
Lineage: Eukaryota; Metazoa; Arthropoda; Insecta; Lepidoptera; Noctuidae
Exons: 2
Source: RefSeq, a predicted model, not a curated record